This 1326-nucleotide ribosomal RNA is filed under the name Mansonia uniformis. RNAcentral describes it as "large subunit ribosomal RNA". The stretch from base 885 to 1247 matches the Rfam family "Bacterial large subunit ribosomal RNA", at positions 2075 to 2645 of the family's 2925-position model. Lineage: Eukaryota; Metazoa; Arthropoda; Insecta; Diptera; Culicidae. The record is from RNAcentral.
AUAAAAUUUAUUUAUUAAUUUUAAAUGUUUUAGAUUUUUUAAUAAAAAUAAUUUUAAAAAUUUGUGUUUUAGUAUUUUAUAAAGAAAAAAUAUUUUUAAUUAUAGUUUAUUAGUAUUGUAAAAGAAAAUUGAAAGAAAAUGAAAAAUUAUUAUUUUAAAAGAAAAUUUAAUUUAUUGUACCUUGUGUAUCAGGGUUUAUUAAAUAAAAAUUUAUUAUAUUAAUAUUUUUCGAAUUUUAAAGAUUUAUUUAAAUAUAAAAGUUAAUGUGGCAUAAUUAUUUUUAAUAUUUAAAUAGAAAUGAAAUGUUAAUCGUUUUAAAAUAUAUCUAGUUUUUUAAGAAAUAAAUUUAAUUUAGCAUUUAAGAUUAAUAAGUUAAUUAUUUAAUUUAUUAAUUUUUAAAUAGAAAUAUUUUAAGGGAUUAGCUUUAAAAUAAAUUGUUAUAUUUUAAAAAAUUGUAUUUAAUAAUUGUAAGCUUAAUAAUAGUUAUCGAAGGAAAGUUUGUUAUACUUUAUUUUAAAAAAUGAAUUAUUUAUUGUAAAAUUAAAUUAUUUAUUAAAAUAUAAAUUUAAAUUAAAAAAAUUUAUUAAUUAUGAUAAAAUUAGUAUAAUAAUUUAUGUAAAUAAAUUUAUUUGAUAGGUUUAUUUAAGGAAUUCGGCAAAUUAUAUAUUCACCUGUUUAACAAAAACAUGUCUUUUUGAAGUAAAUUUAAAGUCUGGCCUGCCCACUGAAUAAUUUAAAGGGCCGCAGUAUUUUGACUGUGCGAAGGUAGCAUAAUCAGUAGUUUUUUAAUUGAAGGCUUGUAUGAAUGGUUGGAUGAGAUAUAUACUGUCUUAACAAAAUUUAAAUAGAAAUUUAUUUUUUAAUAAAAAAGUUAAAAUAUAAUUAAAGGACGAGAAGACCCUAUAGAUCUUUAUUUUAAUUAAUUAUAAUAAAAAAAGAUUUUAAAUUUGUUAUAAUUUAAUAUAAAAUUUUACUGGGGUGGUAUUAAAAUUUAAUUAACUUUUAUUGUAUUUUUACAUUAAUAUAUGAAUAAUUGAUCCAGUUAUAUUGAUUAAAAAUUUAAGUUACCUUAGGGAUAACAGCGUAAUUUUUUUUUAGAGUUCUUAUCGACAAAAAAGAUUGCGACCUCGAUGUUGGAUUAAGAGUUAUUUUUAGGUGUAGAAGUUUAAAGUUUAGGUCUGUUCGACCUUUGAAUUCUUACAUGAUCUGAGUUCAAACCGGCGUGAGCCAGGUUGGUUUCUAUCCUUAAUUAAAAUUUAUAUUAUAGUACGAAAGGACCUAAUAUAAGAAAUAUUAAUUUUUAUUAUAUGAAUUUUAUUAAUUUAU